This 86-nucleotide non-coding RNA is filed under the name Pseudomonas sp. OV226. Lineage: Bacteria; Pseudomonadati; Pseudomonadota; Gammaproteobacteria; Pseudomonadales; Pseudomonadaceae. The record is from RNAcentral.
GUAGGAGCUGAGCUUGCUCGCGAUGCAGGCGCCUCGGUUAACCUGAUUUCUGCGGUGAUGCUAUCGCGAGCAAGCUCAGCUCCUAC